GACAGAGGCCCCGAGCGUUAGUCGGAAUCACUGGGCUUAAAGGUGCGUAGGCGGACUUGUAAGUGCUUUGUGAAAGCCCCGGCUCAACCCGGGAACCGCAGGCAUACUGCAAGUCUUAGAGGAAGCUAGAGGCGGUAGAACGAUCGGUGGAGCGGUGGAAUGCGUAGAGAUCGAUCGGAAUGCCAAGGUGAAGACAACCGCUGGGCUUCCUGACGCUGA
This 219-nucleotide ribosomal RNA is filed under the name uncultured bacterium. RNAcentral's name for it is "partial 16S ribosomal RNA". It matches the Rfam family "Bacterial small subunit ribosomal RNA", at positions 524 to 749 of the family's 1533-position model. The record is from RNAcentral.